GAUCCUGGCUCAGGAUGAACGCUAGCGACAGGCUUAACACAUGCAAGUCGAGGGGCAGCAUAUUCUGGCAACAGAAUGAUGGCGACCGGCGCACGGGUGAGUAACGCGUAUGCAACCUUCCCCUUACAGGGGUAUAGCCCAUGGAAACGUGGAUUAAUCCCCCAUACGGCAUUCGGAUGGCAUCAUUCGGGUGCGAAAUCUUCAGAGGUAAGGGAUGGGCAUGCGUCCGUA
Molecule: ribosomal RNA, 231 nt
Filed under: uncultured bacterium
Lineage: Bacteria
Description: partial 16S ribosomal RNA
Rfam family: Bacterial small subunit ribosomal RNA
Source: RNAcentral